CACGUAGGCGGCAUGGUAAGUCAUAGGUGAAAGCCCUCGGCUCAACCGAGGAACUGCCUUUGAAACUGCUUUGCUUGAGUCCGGGAGGGGGGAGCGGAAUUCCCAGUGUAGCGGUGAAAUGCGUAGAUACUGGGAGGAACACCGGUGGCGAAGGCGGCUCCCUGGACCGGUACUGACGCUGAGGUGCGAAAGCGUGGGUAGCAAACA
RNAcentral lists this ribosomal RNA (207 nucleotides) under uncultured bacterium. RNAcentral describes it as "partial 16S ribosomal RNA". It matches the Rfam family "Bacterial small subunit ribosomal RNA", at positions 568 to 774 of the family's 1533-position model. The record is from RNAcentral.